Long non-coding RNA from Spodoptera frugiperda (fall armyworm), 467 nucleotides. RefSeq lists it as uncharacterized. The transcript is spliced from 5 exons. Lineage: Eukaryota; Metazoa; Arthropoda; Insecta; Lepidoptera; Noctuidae. The record is from RefSeq and is a predicted model, not a curated record.
GAUAGUCAAUCGAUUGGUGUGGAACACCUUUAAGAAUAAUAUUUGCCUAUGUUUCAGCGGUUCAGAUUGCUACUGAAGCACCUAGAUUGGAUGCUCCUGUAGAAGGAGAACAGUUUGAAUAUACAGCUAAAUACACCUGCAAAGAGCCAUGUACGGUGAAAGAGCUGCGAGGAAACGGUAUCCCGGUGAGCGUCACGCAAGGCACACGCCGAUCCAACGUCGGGUCGUUAGUUUUCUAUUUGCUUGGCGCCGACACCGGAGAACGUGAAGGAUCGAUCAUUAUCAGGAUAAAUGAGUUUGCGGCCGUAUACGAAGGCUUCUACCAAGCCACUUUCGAGACCAAUGGCGAGCAUGUCACUAAGAAUAUUCUUGAAAUCGGACCUAAGGUUGCAGAAACUUCAGGAGGUGGCGCUGGUAAGAUACAAGUACUUUUUUUAUGAAACACGAUUAUUUAUAAUCGAGCAGAC